GUGCUUGCUUUGGCAGCACAUGUUCUGAGAAGAUUAGCAUGGCCCCUGCACAAGGAUGACUCACAAUUUCGUGAAGCAUUCCACAAAUUA
This is a small nuclear RNA of Propithecus coquereli (Coquerel's sifaka), 90 nucleotides long. The record is from Ensembl. NCBI's taxonomy places the organism in Eukaryota, Metazoa, Chordata, Mammalia, Primates, Indriidae.